This 492-nucleotide ribosomal RNA is filed under the name uncultured bacterium. RNAcentral's name for it is "partial 16S ribosomal RNA". The stretch from base 57 to 492 matches the Rfam family "Bacterial small subunit ribosomal RNA", at positions 39 to 507 of the family's 1533-position model. The record is from RNAcentral.
GGGGGGGGGGGGGGGGGGGGGGGGGGGAGGGAGGGGGGAGGGGGGCGGAGGGGGGGGGGGCGGGGACGGGGGGCGAGGGGCGGAGGGGGGGGGGAGACGUGGGAAGCUAGGCGUGCGGGGGGGAGAAGGGAGGGAAACUUACGCGAAUACCGCAUACGACCUAGGGGUGAAGGCAGGGGAUCUGCGGAGCUUGCGGGGUGGGAGGGGCCGAGGUCGGAUUAGCUAGUUGGCGGGGGAAAGGCCCACCAAGGCGACGCGCCGUAGCUGGUCUGCGAGGAUGAUCAGCCACACUGGAACUGAGCCACGGUCCAGACUCCUACGGGAGGCAGCAGUGGGGAAUAUUGGACAAUGGGCGCAAGCCUGAUCCAGCCAUGCCGCGUGGGUGAAGAAGGCCUUCGGGUUGUAAAGCCCUUUUGUUGGGAAAGAAAAGCAGCAGGUUUAUACCCCGCUGUUCUGACGGUACCCAAAGAAUAAGCACCGGCUAACUUCGUG